CCCCUCUCAGGAUCGUAUCUGGAGAGUUUCCAGUACUUUACCAGUCUAGGCUACAGGAGGGAGAGUCAAGCAGAGGCCUAUCCAUUUCAUUCCAAGCUUAGCCAGUGGCUAGCGAGUGGAAGGCAAUCUAUUACAAAU
This is a small nucleolar RNA of Ornithorhynchus anatinus (platypus), 138 nucleotides long. NCBI's taxonomy places the organism in Eukaryota, Metazoa, Chordata, Mammalia, Monotremata, Ornithorhynchidae. The record is from RefSeq and is a predicted model, not a curated record.